UUCCUUGGGUUUUAAGGAUGCUGUGAAGAACACUGCAUUGUUGGCACAAAGUGCUGUAGGAGUCGCUGUUGCUGCAGCUGUAGUGAUUUUCAGUUACUUUUAUGAAGUUCACAGAAAAACCAAGUAAAGAGGAUGAAAAUUAAUCAGCUCUCAUUCAAAACAACCUUAUUGGAAAUUAUUCAAUUAAGUGUGUUUGAGGAACUUGAUUAAUUGCAAACUUCCAUUCUGAUUCGAGAAUAAAUGAUAGUUUUUAUAUGAAUUUUCUCAUUUAAUAUGCCUAUGCACCUCUAGAAUCAGGUCUGAGCCCUCAAGUAUGCGUCCUCGCACUUGGCAUUUAGACUGCUAUUUUGUCUUCCUUGGGUUUUAAGGAUGCUGUGAAGAACACUGCAUUGUUGGCACAAAGUGCUGUAGGAGUCGCUGUUGCUGCAGCUGUAGUGAUUUUCAGUUACUUUUAUGAAGUUCACAGAAAAACCAAGUAAAGAGGAUGAAAAUUAAUCAGCUCUCAUUCAAAACAACCUUAUAGGAAAUUAUUCAAUUAAGUGUGUUUGAGGAACUUGAUUAAUUGCAAACUUCCAUUCUGAUUCGAGAAUAAAUGAUAGUUUUUAUAUGAAUUUCCUCAUUUAAUAUGCCUAUGCACCUCUAGAAUCAGGUCUGAGCCCUCAAGUAUGCUUCCUCGCACUUGGCAUUUAGACUGCUAUUUUGCCUUCUAUUGAUUUCUUCGGGUCAGAGAUUCUUUCUCGUAACAUAUAAGAAAGAAAAG
RNAcentral lists this long non-coding RNA (760 nucleotides) under Citrus x clementina. RNAcentral describes it as "Citrus clementina (C. clementina) long non-coding RNA (CCLE_LNC001258)". Lineage: Eukaryota; Viridiplantae; Streptophyta; Magnoliopsida; Sapindales; Rutaceae. The record is from RNAcentral.